CUUUAUAUUAAAAAAAUGUUCAAUUUAUUUAAACUAAAAACAAUACCAACAGCAGUGUUCUGAAUGUCAAAGUGAAGAAAGUCAAGGAAACACAGGUAAAUAGUUGGAGUCACUAUGACUCUCUUAAGGUGAAUGCUUCUUGUAGGACCUGAACUGCCACACAAGGUGUCUGAUAAAUGCUUUAC
This 185-nucleotide non-coding RNA is filed under the name Camelus ferus (Wild Bactrian camel). The record is from Rfam by way of RNAcentral. Lineage: Eukaryota; Metazoa; Chordata; Mammalia; Artiodactyla; Camelidae.